CGCCUGGACCACGGCGCCUCUUCUGGAAGGGAAAGUAAACCAAAUCAAGUUUCAUGUUUAUGCUUGAACAAAAUAAAAGCUACACUGAGGACCAAAUCCCUCUUUUUUCAGGUGUCAUAAUUCAACAGAUGUAAACCGUGCCUGGCUGCAUACAGAUGUCGGAGCCGGACUGCUUCUCCCCAGUCAUUUGCCAAAUGUGGACCA
Long non-coding RNA from Sinocyclocheilus anshuiensis, 204 nucleotides. RefSeq lists it as uncharacterized. The record is from RefSeq and is a predicted model, not a curated record. The transcript is spliced from 3 exons. Lineage: Eukaryota; Metazoa; Chordata; Actinopteri; Cypriniformes; Cyprinidae.